RNAcentral lists this unclassified non-coding RNA (688 nucleotides) under Vanderberghia orgibetensis. RNAcentral's name for it is "partial contains 16S ribosomal RNA (rrnL) and tRNA-Leu (trnL)". The stretch from base 383 to 541 matches the Rfam family "Bacterial large subunit ribosomal RNA", at positions 2473 to 2632 of the family's 2925-position model. Lineage: Eukaryota; Metazoa; Arthropoda; Insecta; Coleoptera; Leiodidae. The record is from RNAcentral.
GUCUUAUUGAUUAUAAUUUUAAGUCUAAUCUGCCCAAUGAGUAAUUAAAUGGCUGCAGUAUUUUAACUGUACAAAGGUAGCAUAAUAAUUAGUUUCUUAAUUAGGAACUGGAAUGAAUGAUUGGACGAGAUGAUGACUGUCUUGGUUUAAAUUUUAGAAUUUUAUUUUUAAGUUAAAAAGCUUAAAUUUUUUUAAAAGACGAGAAGACCCUAUAGAAUUUUAUAUUAUUUAAAUAUUUUAUUAUUUGGAUUUUAAUAUAGAAUUUUUUAAUGAGUAUUUAAUUGGGGUGAUUGAAAAAUUUAAUUAACUUUUUUUUACUAUAAACAUUGAUUUAUGAUUAUUUGAUCCAAUAUUUUUGAUUAUAAGAUUAAAUUACCUUAGGGAUAACAGCGUAAUUUUUUUAGAGAGUUCUAAUCGAUAAAAGAGAUUGCGACCUCGAUGUUGGAUUAAAGUUAAUUUUUAAUGUAGGAGUUAAAAUAUUAGGUCUGUUCGACCUUUGAAACUUUACAUGAUCUGAGUUUAAACCGGUGUGAGCCAGGUUGGAUUCUAUCUUUAAUUAGAUUAAAUAUUUUAGUACGAAAGGACCAAGUAUUUGUUAUAAUAGUUUAUUUAGAAUAUUAAUAUUAUUUUGGCAGAUUAGUGCUUUAAAUUUAGAAUUUAAUUAUGUGGAUGUAUUCACAGAUAAUAC